UGGGGAAUUUUGGACAAUGGGGGAAACCCUGAUCCAGCCAUCCCGCGUGUGCGAUGAAGGCCUUCGGGUUGUAAAGCACUUUUGGCAGGAAAGAAACGUCGCGGGUUAAUACCCCGCGGAACUGACGGUACCUGCAGAAUAAGCACCGGCUAACUACGUGCCAGCAGCCGCGGUAAUACGUAGGGUGCAAGCGUUAAUCGGAAUUACUGGGCGUAAAGCGUGCGCAGGCGGUUCGGAAAGAAAGAUGUGAAAUCCCAGAGCUUAACUUUGGAACUGCAUUUUUAACUACCGGGCUAGAGUGUGUCAGAGGGAGGUGGAAUUCCGCGUGUAGCAGUGAAAUGCGUAGAUAUGCGGAGGAACACCGAUGGCGAAGGCAGCCUCCUGGGAUAACACUGACGCUCAUGCACGAAAGCGUGGGGAGCAAACAGGAUUAGAUACCCUGGUAGUCCACGCCCUAAACGAUGUCAACUAGCUGUUGGGGUCUUCGGACCUUGGUAGCGCAGCUAACGCGUGAAGUUGACCGCCUGGGGAGUACGGUCGCAAGAUUAAAACUCAAAUGAAUUGACGGGGUCGAU
RNAcentral lists this ribosomal RNA (575 nucleotides) under uncultured bacterium. RNAcentral describes it as "partial 16S ribosomal RNA". It matches the Rfam family "Bacterial small subunit ribosomal RNA", at positions 355 to 923 of the family's 1533-position model. The record is from RNAcentral.